UUAACAUCUUCUGCAAUCUCCUAAUGACUAAUAUUUAUAUAGAAGAUAUUUUAUCACUAUUUGAUGAUGUUAAUAUGUAUUCAACUCAUAUUUGGAAUAAUCAAUACACUAAAAUUCAUAAAAUUACAAAAAAUAUACAUUUCAUAAGAUUUGCAUUAAAAACUAGUUGACUUUUUUCUUCCAGCUCACAAAUUAGCACUCAUGUUUUGGUAUUGGAUUUUAUUAAAAGUAAGCAUGCAACAGUAAGAUAUUUUUAAAAAUACUCUUUUAGGAAAUUAUUUUUAAAAAGAAAUAAUUCUGAAAGGUCAACAUACUGUCUUUCCCGAAACUUGUGAAUUAAAUAUGCUUGUGCACUCUCAUAAUUAGCAGGAUAAAUAUUAUGAUUUUUACUUUGUAAGUAACAAUAUAUGUUGUACAGAUUAAUAUAAGAACCUCACAAAAGAAACUAUAUAGUAUGAAUAUUUCAGAAAUUGUCAAAUACAAAAAACAAUAUGGUAACAGAUGUUAUACCAACAAACUUAAUCUUAAUUCUUUCAUCAGAAAUUCAUCAAUACAAAUUAAAAAAAAUGUAGCUAUAUCCGUAGUACCAAUUAUUAAUUAACAAGAUGAAAACCUAAUGUUAACCAAACAUACCUGGUUUGGUGUCUUUUUUGUUUUCUUUCUGAUAUUAUAAUCUUAUUUCAAACUAUUUUAGUAUAAUGUUAUAGUUCAUAGAAGUUAGGAUAGUGUCCUCUUAAAAGCUCCAAAUAUCAGUAAAUAAAGUAGCUAUGAAGAUUUUUUUAAUUCUUUUUUAAAAUUGAUUUUAUUAUUUUUUAAAAUACACGACAACAGUGGAAUGUAUUACUAUCCUUAUUACACAUAUAGAGCACAAUUUUUCAUAUCUCUGUAUAUAAAGUAUGUUCACAUCAAUUUAUGACAUUAUACAUGUACUUUUUUGCAUUACAAUUCUUAAUACACAUAUAUACCACAAUCUUUCAUAUCUCUGUUUGUAUAUAAAGUGUGUUGACACCCAAUUCAAGUCUUCAUACAUGUACUUUAAAACACACUGUUUUUUCUCAAUGUGUACUGUAACCUUAUGACCACAAUUUUUAAAAAUAUAAAUAUGUCUCCUGAUUUAUCCUUAUUUUAUUUUAUUUUACAUAUUUUAUUUCUACCAUUUGUUUCAUUAAAAUAAACAGAUAUGGUCUAAUAUCUAAUAUUUGAUAUAUCUAAUAUUUGAUAUAUUUUCAAAAUAUCUAAUUUUGAUAAAUUCUGAUAGAUAUUUAUUAUAUUGAAAAUGGAGUAUAAUAUAUGAUUUGGAAGUCCAUAUCUAAAAUGAGUAUACAGUGUUAUGGUUGAAUUCUUCAUCAGUUCAACAGAAAUAACAUUGGCUAAACUUUCAGAAAACAAAGACACAAAUUUCAAAUGUUUAAGAUGUUUCAGUAUUUUGUAGUAUUGCUUUAUUCAGGCUACUAUGGUUAAAAAAAAAAAGGAGACUGGUGGCUUAUAAACAUCAGAAACAUACUUUUCACAGUCCUUAAGGCUAGGAUGUGCAAGGCUGAGGCAAGGGUAAGUAGGUGCCUUUUUCUCACAUACAGCCACCUUGCUCAGACCUCACAUGGCAGAAAUGGAAAGGAUUUCUGUCAGGUUUGCCAUAGGUUACUAAUCCCUGGGCACCUCCUCAGCCUAAUUGCUUCCUACAUUGCUCCUCUCCUUCAUACUAUCAAUUUUGAGGUUAAAAAUUGCAACAUAUGAAUUGGGGGAGAAAGUUAGCAAUAUUUGCAGUUUGCAAAGUUGGGUCAUAUAAAUUCUAACAAUUCCUAUUUCUCAAUCUAUUUAUUUUUAAAUCAGGAAAAAUUCAAAACUGUCUGGUACAAAUUAUUUUACACUUCCCAAGUGUGUACUUUUCUAGGAAAAACAGGAGAACAUUAACAGUUAGUUUGCUUAAACAAUGAUUUUUAUGAGGAUAACAGUUGUUUUUUAAUUACAAUAGAAUGCAUUUUGACAUACAGUACACAAAUGGAGCACAACUUCUCAUUCCUCUAGCUGUCCAUGGUUUAGAGUUACUCCAGUAGUGUAAUCAUAUAUGUAUAUAGGGUAAUAAUGCCUGUCUCUUUUUACCAUUCUUCCCAUCCCCACAAUCCCAACCCUCACUUCACUCCCGUCUACACAAACCAACCAAAGUGAAGAUAACAGUUUUUAUUUAUUAAAAAUAUUUUUAAACUUUCAUUUUUUUUAAAUCAGCUCAUCAUGAAUUCUAUGCUGCUUAUCAAAUAUUUUGAAUUCUAAGUAUCAACCGCUUUUUGACUAAGGAAAUAUGUGAUCACAAUUGAUUAUAGUAUUACCUAUGUUAACAUGUACUGUGAUGAAUUAUCAUUUCUUUAUUGCUUCAGCCUAUUGGUGUAGGCAUACCAACAGUUAAUUUAAGAAAAAGGAGACCCAAUGUUCAGGUAAAUGAAUGAAGGUAGACUUAGCUGUGCUUUCAAAUUUGCUAAAUCAGAGUUGAGAUCAAGCUUGGUCUUAUAGCUUUUGAUUAAAACUGCAUUUCCUGACAUUAGCUUACAGAGCAUGAGAUGGAAAUGAGCAUCAUUUCUCAAUAAACUGCAGCAAAAAUUUUAUUAAUUAUGGGAGAGGAUAUGCGUUGGUGAACUAAAGAUUGCUAAGUAAUUAUGUAAUAAUAUUAACAAUCAAGGGUAUUCAUAAUGAGAUGGCUUCUAAAAAGGAAAUGUUAUUAAAUAUUGUUAAAUUAGUGUCAAAUCUUUGUGAUCCUAACAAUUUGCUUGUAAAAUUGACUUCUAAUUGCAAAUAGAAAUUCUUAUGUGAUAGUUUCCAUAAACCAGAUAUUUUAAGCCAAAAUUUCUUUGAAUUUCUAAAAGUAUAAUUUGGGAUUAGAAGUUAAUUUCCCUUCAGCUAAUUGAAAAUGUUCAAUAUUGCAAAUAAAAAGUGUGAAUAUGUACCACCUGGCAAAUUUAUUACAAAAUCUUUGCCAUCAACAAGACUUAAAAGUUAUUAUAUAUAUGCUGGGAAUGAUGGCUCAUACCUGUAAUUCCAAAGGCUUGGGAGGCUGAGGCAGGAUGACUGCAGAUUCAAAGCCAGCCUCAGCAAUAGCCAGGAGCUUUGCAACUCAGUGAGACACUGUCUCUAAGAUACAAAAUUGGGCUGGGGAUGUGGCUCAGUGACCAACUGCCCCUGAAUUCAAUCUCUGGUACGCCCCGAAAAAAAAACAAAAAAGUUUGUUUGCUUAUUUAUUUAUUUAUUUAUUUAUGUUUCUGGGCACAUUAAAAAUAAUCAGCAUAAAAGGAUACUUUCUACAACUUUGAGAAUUUCAGAAUUUCAAAGAAAGUUCAACAUUUAAUACUUUCUUUAUUAGCUUACCAUUUUCUUAAAAAAAGUGUUGGUCACAUUACAAUGGAGAGGUGGUGUGAUUUCAGAAGAGGUUGCUAAACUGUGAAUUAGAACUAAGUUUGAGUUUAGUUCUUCUGGAGGCCAAUAGUGGAGUACUUCAUUUUGUUUACCUGAAAAGCAGUGUCUCUGCCCUGCCCAGACUGUUCAUCUGGGAAAUGAAGCGUAUCUGUUAUUACUGGGCCCCUUCUCUUCAAAUUUCUGAUUUACUUUGGCCUCCAAAUUAUUUUUAAAGCUUCCGAGGUUGUUCUAAAAUGCAGAGAACUGAACUAGUAAAAGCUUCAUUUCUCUUCCAGCUCUAGAGCUCCAAGAAAAUCUGAAUUUCAUGUUGUUGCAUAUAAGUCCCUGAAUCUUUUACAAUUUUUAUAAAGAUUAUUAUUAUGUGUAGGUCAUUCUUGAUAUUGAUAUUUUGUUACUCUCCUUGCAUGUUUUCUUUUUAUGUAUCAUCUUAAAUUAUACUUUUUGCAAUCCUGCAUUUUAGUGAAUUUUAAUUUUUGUAGCAAAAUCAAACAUUGCAUGUAAAUAUUAUGAUUAAAAAAUAAACAUCCUGAAUAAUAGUUUACGUUAUUUUUGUUUUCAUUCUAAGAAAAUUCCAAAUGGCAAUCUAGCAACCAUAUAAGACUUUUCAAUUUGAGGGAUAUUUUUGAACGAUGAAGUAUUGUAAUCAUAGUGACAAAUAAUUAUUUCAAAUUCAAAAUUUGCUAAUAUUGCAUCCUGCCUUUUAUUUUCACAAAAUGAAUGAUUGUUAUGACAGUUGAUAUUUAAAUUUUGCAAAUAGAAUUGUCACAUAUUUAAAAUGAGCAAAAAUAAUGGGCAUUCAGAGACCAUAGGAUCAAACAAAUUUCUAUUCUUAAUCUUGUCUUGGUUUUUUCUUAUUAGAAUUCUGAAAAUUUUUCAGUCCCUAUACCUGUGAUGAGUCUUUUUAAAAAGUGGCCUGUCAGAUUGCCAUUUAAAAAUACAAGUGGUGCAUUGAUAUGUUUCUGUUAUGAUUUCAUUUUCUUCUCUGUGUCUUUAUAUGUUGGAUUGGGACAUGAUCUUCAUAUUGCCAAAUCUUCCUGAUAAUGCCUCCUCCCUGCAUGCUGUUUGGGUCUGGUCAUGCUAUGCAUUAUCCAUUGCAUGUAAGAUAAAUAUUCUUUUUUUUCUGUUUUCAUUUUAUCAUUUUGAUUAUUUUUCACUUUGUUUGCAUUGAGUUUGUUAAAAUUUUAAUUCUGUUUUGAGGGUGUUUAUAUGAGGAUGGUUUAUUUCAUGGAAGUUUACAUAGGCACUUCUGAAAUAUUAGAUUGAGUGUCCUUUCAUUAGGGACUUUCUAGGUUUCUUUUUCUUUCACUUUAUUUAUGUAUUUAUUUGUUUGUUUGUUUUGAUACUGAGUAAUCAGAAUGGAAUCCACUGGGCACUUUAUUCCCAACCGUUAUUUAUUUAUUUGUUUAUUUAUUUAUUUUUAAUUUGGAGACAGGGUCUCACUAAGUUGCUUAAGGCCUCCUUAAGUUGCCAGACUGGCCUCAAACCUGCGGUCCUUCUGUCUCAGCCUUCUGAGUCACUGGGGUUACAGGUGUGCAACACUUUUCCCAGCUCAUUUUCUUAACCACAGAUUUGAAGACUUUUCAGUAUUACCCUUUUAUUUUCUUCUUAUGAUAUAUGUUUUUAUUUUCUUCUUAUGGAAUAUUUAUUUGCUUCUAAAUCAAAACUAUGCCCUCCAAAUGAUGUUAUUGGGGGCGCAGGUUGGGGUAACAGGGAUUGAACUCAGGGGCACUUGACCACUGAGCCAUAUCCCCAGUCCUAUUUUGUAUUUUAUUUAGAGACAGGGUCUCAUUGAGUCUUUAGCACCUUGCUUUUGCUGAGGCUGGCUUUGAACUCGGGAUCCUCCUGUCUCAGCCUCCCUGGCCACCUGGCCAAAUGAUGGUAUGUUUCUCUUUCAAAAAAUUAAAUAUUUGGCCUGGCACAGUGGUGAAAAACUGUAAUCCCAGGUGCUCAGUAUGCUGAGGCACAAGGAUUGCAAGUUCAAAGCAGCCUCAGCAACUUUGUGAAGCCCUAAAUAAGGGAGAUCCUGUCUCCAAAUUAAAAAAAAAAAAAAAAAGACCUAGGGAUGCUGAUCAGUGGUUAAGUGACCCUUGAUUAAAUCCCCAGUACCAAAAACAAACAAACAAAAAAUCAAAUACUUAGACUUUUAGUAAUAUAGAACCUUCUGAUUAUAGUCAAAGAGUUCUUAAGCAGUGAAUAUAGUUCAGUUUUAAAAAUACAGGUGAGGGCUGGGUUCGUGGCUCAGUGAUAGAGUGCUUACCUCACAUGUGUGAGGCACUGUGUUAAAUUCUUAGCACCAUAUAUAAAUAAAUGAAUAAAAUAAAAGUCCAUCAACAACUGAAAAUAUAUUUUAAAAAAUACAGGUGAGAUUAUCUUUGUUUAAUUUGCCUUUAAGUAUUCUCAUUCAUCAAAAACUAAGGGAAUAAAAAAAAUAUACUUUUUAAAAUGGAGUUAUUCCUUGAAGGCAGUUUUUUCAUAAUUAUAAAAUACUGUGUAUGCUGUUAUCCAUACCCCAAAAAGAUAUGCUUAAUUUUAAUAAAUUUUAACUGUUCCUUUUGUGUUUGAAAGUCUACUCUCCUAAAGUUGUGUUUCAAAUAGUGAUGAUGAAAAGGGAGGCUGAUAAUUACCAAGAAUCUGGUGAUUGGGCAUUAAUCUAGAACAGUGUGCAUUUAAUACCACUACCUAAUUAAGUCUGAGACUGGGGUAAUGUUUAUUUUAAUAAACAUUUAAAAUCUAGUUUCUAAAAUUUUGCAUUUAUAAAAUCAUACAUAUUAUGAUUUAUUGUUCUAGUGAACUUUGAAAUUCUAUGACAUGUUACUUAGCAGGUGUUUUAAAGGAAUGCAUUGAUUUACUUCAGUAAGUCUUCUAUGUGAUUGUGAAAUUAAAAUAAUAGUAUCAUAUACUUAUAUAUAAAUAAAUUAUCUUAUUCCAUGGUGAACUUUAUUUGUUAUUAUGCAUCAGCAAGAAAAGUCAGGAAAUAGUAUUUAGUUAAACUUUAAUUAAAAUAGCUAAUCUUAAUAAAAGUCUUUGUGACUUGACCACAAGUUUUCUUAUAAAAUCUUAAUAGUUUGAAUUAAUAAAAUAUAAAAUUUCUGAGAUUUAAGUAUAUAAAACUAACUUAUUUCUUUUCCUUAUGCAUAUUGAGAAGAAAAUAUAGGUCUUAUAGAAUUUGUUUUACUUAGAGAAUUCAAACUAGUUUUAAAAACAUUUUUUCCAUACACAGUCUAUUUUUUAUCUGAACUACAGCUUGGGAUGCUUACUUAUGGCCUUUGUUUUAUUGUCACAUUGCUAUAUUUUGCACUUUGUCAUUCUAAUUAAAGGAAAGAAAGUUGUGAAUGGAUCUUCAAAAGUCAUAUUCCCAUAGGCUUAUGAUUAUAAAUGCAGUGUAUAAUACAACAUUCAGGGUGAGACUGUUUUUCAUUUGAUGAUUAAUUACAAUUAAUCUACUGCAUUUAAAGCUCAAUCUCUUAGCUCUGUCUACUUUCAUGUACAUAUGUUCAUGAAAUAGUUUCAUGUGCAUAUGAAAGAAGAUAUCUCUAUCAAUUACUAAUGUAUCUUAGGUAAGUAACUUUUAGAGAAUUAAUUUCAUCUUUAAAUAUCCAUUAAAUUAACUCUUUUACACAGCAUCAUUUUAUAAUAUCAUAUGUAAUUAGUUGUUAUUGUUUUCUGUGUAGAACCCCAAAUCUCAGGAGCCAGUCACAUUGGAUUUCCUUGAUGCAGAGUUAGAGAAUGAUAUUAAAGUAGAGGUGAGUGUGACCAACAGGACAAAGGCAGACCUCAGGUCACUGCUUCACUUCUUCCACGCCUCAAGUAUCUGUCCAGCAACUGUGUUGUGUUAGGCUGUCUCUUAGGUACUACACACACAAAGAUGAAUAUCCUCUAUCUUUAAAUUUUCUAGGUUCUAUCUUCUCAUCCAAAUGGUGUUAUGAGAAGACAUAAAUAUUUCAAGUUGGGUAUGACCUAAAUGUUUUACUCCUUUCAAAGAUAGAGGUAUUUUAACUAUUCCAAUACAAAAAGGACAGAGAUUCAAUAAAAGUCCUACAAAUGGACAUUACCACACAAUUGAAAGAGGAGUUGGGAAGCAUCCAGCCACCUGACCACAUGAGGAAAACAUGAGCAGAGCAGCUGCCAUGUUUGUCUUUGCGCACUUUACUCAGCAAAUUUCUACUUUAUUUCAAAACCAAAAUCACAUGUCACUUCCUCUGAGAGGGUCUUUCAUGAUAAUAAUGGGUUAAUAGUUAAAAAUAACACUAAGUACAUGAUAUCAGUCAUGGAUUUUCAAGAGUCUUUGAGAAAGGUAUGGAACAUUUUAUUAUAUCUAUUACACUGAUGAUAACUUUGCAGUAAACAGAAGUCAAAUAGUAACUAAAAAAGUUACUCAGUAAGUUGCAGGAGUAGGCUCUUGUACUCCAGAACAAAAGUUUGGGGUAUUUUUUCCAGAAAGAUUAACUUCUUCUUUCAUCUUUUCAAAAGUUACAUAUUUCUUUUAAAACUUGUCACAGCAUAUUUCAAUUUGAACUCAAUUGACUCAUUUUACAGAUUUACUCCCUCAUUGCACAACCAUAAGAUUUAACUAUGAUUAUCCUAGGCUGUGGCAUAGAGCUAGGAUGUUUUCCCUGGCUAAUGAAUAUUUGUUGUCAAGUGUUAUAUACAAUAAAGUAGGAUAAGGUAGUGGUGGCAAAAUGGAUGUCUGAACUCCUCCCUGCUCAGUCACCACAAUGAUCAUCACAACAUUUAGUCUCUCUAAGUCUUGUUUCCCCUCAGUUAACUGCUGGCAGCUGGCAGUUAACAUAGUGAUUGCAUGAAAUAAUAUCUAGAAAGAGCUUGGAAAAAUAUCUGCUUUGUGGUCAAGUGUUCAUUAUUUUGGAGCCUUGAUGGACAUUCAAGUUACCUAAGGAGCUGCUCUCUGCUCUUUCCUUUUGUGUUUUUCAGACCUCAAGUAUUUUAAUUAAAUUAGACUAAUCACAUCCUCUUCACAUUUAAUUUUUUUCUCACACCAAGUUUGUUCACUUAUUAUCUGUAGUGACCAAAUGCCAAAUGCAAAUGUCCAAUUGUGUUACAGAAAAUGAAAAAUAAGCUAAAGAAAAUUUUGAUAAUUUCCAGUAGAUGAAUAUUUUGUAAAUUAAUGUGACCUAAUUCAUUUUUUAAAAUUUGGGUAAUUGCCUAUAAGAAAGCUAAACUGUGUCUUAUUAAAUCCCAGUAGGUUUUUAUAAGUCUCUCUAUCCCUUACUUAUAUUGUAUUUGUACUGUCGGAGAUGACAAAUGGAAACUGAAUAAGGAUAAAAAGUAUUGGGAAAUAAAGUUUACAGAUUUAUAUUAUUAUAUUUUGUACCUGUUCAAAUAUAUAACAAUUAAUGUCAUUGUCUGCAUAAUUAUAAUGCACUAAUAAAAAUUAAAAAAUUCUUUCUCAUAUAAAUCUGAUUAGGUGAAGUUGAAAUUUGAAAUAUUCCAUAGUACAUGCUAAUUCUGUAAAUGCAUAUGCAUUUCUCUUUCUCAGUGAGAACUUUUCAUGUAAAUGUAGCCAGCCUAUAAGACAGUUGACUACUUUUUUUUUUUACUAAUUAUGUUUCAAAAAUUAAUGACUGGUUGAAAAAAUUUAUUUCAGGUGCUUUUGUUAUUUUAAAAUGAUAUAAAAUGAUCAGAGUUUGACAACUUUAAAAAAUAAUUCCCAGAGAACAACUGCAACUAAUAGUCAAACCAAUCUACCAUUUAUAUUCAUUCUGUUCAAAAUAAGGAAAAACAUUCAAAAAUGAAUAUAAUCAUACUUCAAUAGGUCUGCUUGGUUCCUGGAAUAAAGUAGUUGUUUCAUUUUCCCUUAGAUUCGAAAUAAAAUGAUAGAUGGAGAAAGUGGAGAAAAAACCUUCAGAACUCUGGUUAAAUCUCAAGAUGAGGUAAGAAUUCAUUC
This 9304-nucleotide long non-coding RNA is filed under the name Marmota monax (woodchuck). The record is from RNAcentral. Lineage: Eukaryota; Metazoa; Chordata; Mammalia; Rodentia; Sciuridae.